RNAcentral lists this ribosomal RNA (926 nucleotides) under Eutreptiella gymnastica. Its description in RNAcentral is "partial Bacterial large subunit ribosomal RNA". It matches the Rfam family "Bacterial large subunit ribosomal RNA", at positions 369 to 1303 of the family's 2925-position model. The record is from RNAcentral. Lineage: Eukaryota; Euglenozoa; Euglenophyceae; Eutreptiales; Eutreptiaceae.
AGCCCUGUAAUUGUUUAAAGUUUAAAAUUAUUUUUGUUUAAGUAAAUUGAUGCAAGUCGCGCAUUGAUUAAAUAAUGGGGGCCCACCCUCAAGUCUAAAAAGUUUUAAUGAUUGAUAGCGUAUAGUACCGUGAGGGAAAGGUGAAAUAGAAUUUAUUAAUUUAAAUCUUAAAAAUACUGAAAUUUAAUGUUGACAAGCAAUUGAAGCUUUUAAAAAGUAACAAUGUACCUUUUGCAUAAUGGAUCAACGAGUUUAUUUUAGUGGCGAGCUUAAACAGUGAAUUAAUGUGUAGGCGAAAAGAAAUUAAGUUUUAAAAGGCUUUUAAGUCUCUAAAAUAAGACCCGAAACUAAAUGAUCUAACCAUGAUCAGGCUGAAUUUAUAGCGGUAACGCUUAUUGGAGGGCUGAACCCUUACAUGUGGAAAAAUGUUGGGAUGAAUUGUGGUUAGGGGUGAAAGGCCAAUCAAAUUUAGAGAUAGCUGGUUUUCUGCGAAAUCUAUUUAAGUAGAGCGUUUAAAAACUUUAUUUUGGGGUAGAGCACUCGAUAAAUGAUGGGAGCGUAAAGUUUUACUGAAUUUAAUGAAACUACGAAUACAAAGUAAAAGAUAUUAAACAGACAGACUUUGAGUGCUAAGAUUCAUAGUCAAGAGGGAAACAGCCCAGAUUAUUAGUUAAGGCCCCUAAAUGAUUACUAAGUGGUAAAGGAGGUGGGAUUGCUAAGACAAUCAGGAGGUUUGCCCAGAAGCAGCAAUCCUUUAAAGAGUGCGUAAUAGCUCACUAGUCAAGCGACUCGGCGUCGAUAAUAAUCGGGCAUAAGUCCGGUGCCGAAGCUGUGGGAAUGAAAAUUCGGUAGGGGAGCAUUCCAGCCUGCGUAGAAGGUGCCACCGUGAGGGGUGCUGGAGCGGCUGGAAGCGAAACUGUAGGCAU